This 890-nucleotide ribosomal RNA is filed under the name Corinectria fuckeliana. RNAcentral describes it as "eukaryotic LSU rRNA". It matches the Rfam family "Eukaryotic large subunit ribosomal RNA", at positions 40 to 962 of the family's 3401-position model. The record is from RNAcentral. Lineage: Eukaryota; Fungi; Ascomycota; Sordariomycetes; Hypocreales; Nectriaceae.
AUAUCAAUAAGCGGAGGAAAAGAAACCAACAGGGAUUGCCCUAGUAACGGCGAGUGAAGCGGCAACAGCUCAAAUUUGAAAUCUGGCCCCCGGGUCCGAGUUGUAAUUUGUAGAGGAUGCUUUUGGUGCGGUACCUUCCGAGUUCCCUGGAACGGGACGCCAUAGAGGGUGAGAGCCCCGUCUGGUUGGACGCCAAUCCUUUGUAAAGCUCCUUCGACGAGUCGAGUAGUUUGGGAAUGCUGCUCUAAAUGGGAGGUAUAUGUCUUCUAAAGCUAAAUAUUGGCCAGAGACCGAUAGCGCACAAGUAGAGUGAUCGAAAGAUGAAAAGCACUUUGAAAAGAGAGUUAAAAAGUACGUGAAAUUGUUGAAAGGGAAGCGCUCAUGACCAGACUUGGGCCCGGUUGAUCAUCCAGGGUUCUCCCUGGUGCACUCUUCCGGCCCAGGCCAGCAUCAGUUCGCUGUGGGGGAUAAAGGCUUCGGGAAUGUGGCUCCUCCGGGAGUGUUAUAGCCCGCUGCGUAAUACCCUGUGGCGGACUGAGGUUCGCGCAUCUGCAAGGAUGCUGGCGUAAUGGUCAUCAGCGACCCGUCUUGAAACACGGACCAAGGAGUCGUCUUCGUAUGCGAGUGUUCGGGUGUUAAACCCCUACGCGGAAUGAAAGUGAACGCAGGUGAGAGCUUCGGCGCAUCAUCGACCGAUCCUGAUGUUCUCGGAUGGAUUUGAGUAAGAGCAUACGGGGCCGGACCCGAAAGAAGGUGAACUAUGCCUGUAUAGGGUGAAGCCAGAGGAAACUCUGGUGGAGGCUCGCAGCGGUUCUGACGUGCAAAUCGAUCGUCAAAUAUGGGCAUGGGGGCGAAAGACUAAUCGAACCUUCUAGUAGCUGGUUUCCGCC